GAUGAACGCUGGCGGCAUGCCUAAUACAUGCAAGUCGAACGGGAGUGCUUGCACUCCAGUGGCGAACGGGUGAGUAAUACAUAGGUAACCUGUCCUUAAGACGAGGAUAGCUUCUAGAAAUGGAAGAUAAAACUGGAUAGGACAUCACAAAUCACAUGAUUAGAUGUUUAAAAGAGCAAUCUACUUAAGGAGGGGCCUGUGGCGCAUUAGCCAGAUGGCGGGGUAAUGGCCCACCAUAGCGAUGAUGCGUAGCCGGUCUGAGAGGACGAACGGCCACAUUGGGACUGAGACACGGCCCAGACUCCUACGGGAGGCAGCAGUAGGGAAUUUUCGGCAAUGGGCGGAAGCCUGACCGAGCAAUGCCGCGUGAAUGAAGAAGUAUUUCGGUAUGUAAAGUUCUUUUAUUUGGGACGAAAAAACAAAUUGACGGUACCAAAUGAAUAAGCCCCGGCUAACUAUGUGCCAGCCGCCGCGG
RNAcentral lists this ribosomal RNA (475 nucleotides) under uncultured bacterium. RNAcentral describes it as "bacterial SSU rRNA". It matches the Rfam family "Bacterial small subunit ribosomal RNA", at positions 28 to 520 of the family's 1533-position model. The record is from RNAcentral.